Long non-coding RNA from Chroicocephalus ridibundus (black-headed gull), 1360 nucleotides. RefSeq lists it as uncharacterized. The record is from RefSeq and is a predicted model, not a curated record. The transcript has 4 exons. NCBI's taxonomy places the organism in Eukaryota, Metazoa, Chordata, Aves, Charadriiformes, Laridae.
CUCCUCCCGCCGCAGCCGGCGAAAAUAGCAACAGGCAGCGGGUCCCCGGCCCGGCGCGGGUGGAGAGGGACAGGCGGCCGCCAGAGGCGGCGGGCAGCCGGUGACAGGCGGGCGCCCAUGUCGCGACAGAGGGCCCCUCCAGCGGCGCCGCCCCGUGUGUCUGUCACAACCUGUCACAACCUGUCGUCUACCGCUGGAAACGUGUCGGUUGCCGCCUCGCCGUCGUGAGCCGCGGGGGAGGUUGCGAGCCUGCUGUGGAGCAGUGCAUGCCUCUAGUAAUCACCUUACGGAAGACGGUGAGCUGCAGACUCCAGACAGAUCCAUCACUUCAGCCAAGGCUCGUGCAUUCCCAGAUUACCAACCAAUGAUUUUAGGAAGACUUUUUUUACUGCCUCACUGUUGCCUUUCAAAAGGUGGUAAUGAAACAGCACCUAUUGGGUCUGCAAGAUGUGUUCCCCCCCAUUCUCAUGAUUCAACAUCCACACUUUCCUGAAGAUUGACCUCAAUAUAAAUGAUUGUGCACAGCCAAGAAAAACUGAUGUGACAGCCUCAGAAUGCAGGGACUACUUCUUUCCUUGUGUCCUCCGAUGACAACUCUAAAGGUAAGCCUGUAAGGUAAAAGCAGGUAUACAGUGUUCUUUGCUUACCAUCUUGGCUAACAAGGUAAGCUAAUAUUUACUGGGGAUGGAAUAGGAAAUUUGUUCCUUUGUGAUUAGUUUGCUAAAUUUGAUCUGUGCUUGGUCUGGCAACUAGGCAUUCUCCAUGGGAUACCAGAAGUAAUUCUGGGAAAGAAGUUUCUUUACCCAAGAAGUACUGGGGCUGUUAGAGCUACACUGAUACCCAAGACAAGCACUGAAAAUGUGGAAAACCCUUGUAUUAAAGUCAUCUGGUAACCUCCAAAUAACCCGCUCGGCCUCUGCAAGUGCAGACAACAGCAUGCAAUAAAACGGAAACUUUUGCUCUAAAUUAGACAUGCAGAGUUAUGCAUCAAGUCAUGGCAGCAUACAGUAUGACAGACUGGGGUACACAUUGAACUAAUUAUGCUUAGUUCAAUGAGGAAACAGAAAGGUGCUGUAUGUAGAUAUAUUAUCUUAAUAUGUUCAUGGUAUUCAAAGCAGUUUAGUACACUUAGUAUCUCUAACCUGGAAUAUGAUGUAUAGUCUCUCCAGCAAAUUCACUGGGAUUUUCCUGUUUAUUUACGCCAAAAUCCCCAAGAAAGAUCACCAUUUCUGAAACACUUGCCCCAAGUUUGUCAAAGUCUCACCACAGGCUUUCAGUAUUUCUUGUUAACAGAAGAACUUGCUUUGCAAAUCUAAACCUAUAUAAAGUUGCAUAGUACUAUGAGAUUACACACACAAAA